Molecule: ribosomal RNA, 393 nt
Filed under: uncultured bacterium
Lineage: Bacteria
Description: bacterial SSU rRNA
Rfam family: Bacterial small subunit ribosomal RNA
Source: RNAcentral
AACGCGAAGAACCUUACCAGGGCUUGACAUCAUGGUGACAGCCGUGGAAACACGGUCUUCCGUCGCAAGACGGACACCAUGACAGGUGUUGCAUGGUUGUCGUCAGCUCGUGUCGUGAGAUGUUGGGUUAAGUCCCGCAACGAGCGCAACCCCUAUCCAGUGUUGCGACCGGGUAAAGCCGAGCACUCACUGGAGACUGCCGGAGACGAUCCGGAGGAAGGUGGGGAUGACGUCAAAUCAUCAUGGCCCUUAUGCCCUGGGCCCACACACGUGCUACAAUGGCCGGUACAACGGGCUGCGAAGGCGCGAGCCGGAGCGAAUCCCUUAAAGCCGGUCUCAGUUGGGAUUGGGGGCUGCAACUCGUCCCCAUGAACCCGGAAUUGCUAGUAAUCG